UGAUCCCCUUCUUCAGCCUAUUGAUCAAAGACAUUUAUUUUUUGAAUGAAGGAUGUGCUAAUCGCCUUCCAAAUGGACACGUCAACUUUGAAAAAUUUCUGGAACUGGCUAAGCAAGUAGGAGAAUUUAUAACCUGGAAACAAGUGGAAUGUCCCUUUGAGCAGGACCCAAACAUCAUCCACUACUUGCACACUGCUCCCAUUUUUACUGAGGAUGGUUUGUACCUGGCUUCCUAUGAAAGCGAAAGUCCAGAAAACCAGACUGAAAAAGACAGGUGGAAAUCCUUAAGAUCCACUAUUUUAGGAAAGACUUGAAGACUAAGAGGUUAUUGCAGUAGGUCAAGGAAAAAAAAAAUGCGUGAACUUUUUGCACUACUGAUUCCAAAGAUGCCUGUUUGGGAUUUAGACAAUUCGUUUUGUUUGGGUUUUUGUUGGUUUUUUUGACUGCCUAACAUGACGGAUGAACUGGCUUCAUCCUCGGAAAUCGC
Molecule: non-coding RNA, 487 nt
Organism: Tinamus guttatus (white-throated tinamou)
Lineage: Eukaryota; Metazoa; Chordata; Aves; Tinamiformes; Tinamidae
Source: RefSeq, a predicted model, not a curated record